UGUCUCUGUCUCUCUCUCUCUCUUUUUCUGUGUCUCUCCCUUUCCAUGUCUGUCUGUCCGUCUCUCUUUCUCUUUAUUUUCUCCUCUCUCCCUCUCUUUCUCGGUACCUGUCUCUCUCUGUGUCUCCUCUCGUCUCUUCUCCUCUUUGUUUCUCUCUCUCUCUCUUUCUCGGUACCUCUCUCCCUCUAUCUCCUCUCCUCUCUUCUCUCUCUCUCCCUCUCUCUCUUUCUCUGUAUUUUCUCC
This 243-nucleotide long non-coding RNA is filed under the name Homo sapiens (human). Its description in RNAcentral is "HSALNT0406793". Lineage: Eukaryota; Metazoa; Chordata; Mammalia; Primates; Hominidae. The record is from RNAcentral.